AACGAACGCUGGCGGCAGGCCUCAAACAUGCAAGUCUAGGGGGUGUAGCAAUACAUCACCGGCGGACGGGUGCGUAACGCGUGGGAAUAUACCUAUCGAUUCGGAACAACUGAGGGAAACUUCAGCUAAUACCGAAUACGUCCUAACGGAGAAAGAUUUAUCGUCGAUAGAUUAGCCCGCGUUCGAUUAGCUAGUUGGUGGGGUAACGGCCCACCAAGGCGACGAUCGAUAGCUGUUCUGAGAGGAAGAUCAGCCACACUGGGACUGAGACACGGCCCAGACUCCUACGGGAGGCAGCAGUUGGGAAUCUUGGACAAUGGGGGAAACCCUGAUCCAGCCAUGCCGCGUGAGUGAUGAAGGCCUUCGGGUUGUAAAACUCUCUCGCGCACGACGAUAAUGACGGUAGUGCGAGAAGAAGCUCCGGCUAAC
RNAcentral lists this ribosomal RNA (429 nucleotides) under uncultured bacterium. RNAcentral's name for it is "bacterial SSU rRNA". It matches the Rfam family "Bacterial small subunit ribosomal RNA", at positions 29 to 501 of the family's 1533-position model. The record is from RNAcentral.